Molecule: long non-coding RNA, 225 nt
Organism: Sinocyclocheilus grahami
Lineage: Eukaryota; Metazoa; Chordata; Actinopteri; Cypriniformes; Cyprinidae
Exons: 3
Source: RefSeq, a predicted model, not a curated record
CUGAAUUUAUCAUGGGCGUGGAGACAGCUAACCGUAGGCGGAACUGCACCAAGCCACACCCACUUAGUGAUAACCUUUUCAAACCCAGGGACAGAGCCAUCUCAGGCAAGGAGAUGCAAUGGAGAUCCAGGCGGAUUUACAACAAACUCCCUGAGGUAACCAAAAAGAAGGAGGAGGAGAGGAAGAGGCUAGUUUUGGAAACCAACAGACUGAGGGUAGAGGUGU